CCUCUCUCUGAUGAUGAAGUGAUCGUGUAUCUACUUGCCGGCCUAGGUCCGGACUAUGAUUCCUUUGUCACAUCUAUGACAACAAAGGAGUCUCUCACCUUGGAUGACAUAUAUGCCCAUAUAAUGACGUUUGAAGC
Small nucleolar RNA from Panicum hallii, 137 nucleotides. RefSeq annotates it as small nucleolar RNA Z247. The transcript has a single exon. The record is from RefSeq and is a predicted model, not a curated record. Lineage: Eukaryota; Viridiplantae; Streptophyta; Magnoliopsida; Poales; Poaceae.